GAGAGUACAUAGAUUGGAAGUGCUAUUUAAAUAGAAACGCCGCAGAUGUUAUGCGGUGAGAUAUAGCUGGCGUUUCGGUUGGAGCUGCUAGUUGAGAAGUGGCGGAUAGAGUUGGCCACAUUUGUAACCCGUCAACCAACCCUCUUAACUAAGUUCCACCUAGUUCAGGGAUUUUUGAUAAUUUUAGGGGAUUUCGUACCUGCCUAAUUUGAAAGCUUUUGACAAAAACGUCAACGAGACAGCGAUUGUUGGACUUUACUUUUGAAGACGAAAGCGUGUGAAUCUGUGGUUUGUUUUUAGUGCAAAAAAAUCAAAUUAAAUGGAAAACCCAAUGAAAUCGGAAAACACUAAAUUACCGAAAGGAAUGCGAACUCCCAAUUAAACAAAUGAGGAGAAAUAUCGGUUAUUAGAAGUAUGCCGAGACUAUAAAGGGAUCAUCGAAAACAAAAAAAAAUGACUCGUGCUCGUGGAGAGAAAAAGACGAUACAUGGAAUAAGAUCGCUGCCGAUUUCAACGCCUCAUCACCAAGGAAAGUCUUCCGCAGUAAAGAAUCAUUGCGGAAGUGCUACGAAAAUUUAAAAAAAAAGUCAGAAUGGUUGUGUCUCAAGAAAAAAAGUCGCUAAUACAGACCGGCGGUGGUGCAGCAUUUACACCUUUCCAGGACCCAUGUUUUUAAGGAGAUUGUAAGUGCUAAAACCAUGGGUGGACUGCCAAAUUUUGAUGGGGACAGCAUUUUGCUUUUUGUGGAGGAAAAUGAGGCUGGGACUAGUUCGUCUUCUUCGAAUGCGAAUAUUGCAACGGAAGGAGGUCCUGUGAAGCAAAUUGACUGGGGCAACCAUUCUGCAGCGGAUUUGAGGAUACAGCUGCCGAAGGUACUUCGAAGCGACAAGCUUUCCGAAGAAAAUGGCAGUUGGUGUAAGAGGAGAAGACCUGGUGCUGUGAGGACACUUCACACCGCAAAAUAUGAACAAGGGGCUGACUUGAAAAUUAAAUUUCUGACGUCAGAAAUGAAAGCGGCAGACCGUAAAAGAGAGCGCAAAGAAGAAGAGCAUGCUCUAAAAGUAAAAUGUUUACAAUUAGACAUUGCUCUCAAAGAAGCCGAGUUAAAAAAAAUAAAUAAAUCAGAAUAAAAAAA
Molecule: long non-coding RNA, 1135 nt
Organism: Dendroctonus ponderosae (mountain pine beetle)
Lineage: Eukaryota; Metazoa; Arthropoda; Insecta; Coleoptera; Curculionidae
Exons: 2
Source: RefSeq, a predicted model, not a curated record